Molecule: ribosomal RNA, 245 nt
Filed under: Priestia megaterium
Lineage: Bacteria; Bacillati; Bacillota; Bacilli; Caryophanales; Bacillaceae
Description: Bacillus megaterium partial 16S ribosomal RNA
Rfam family: Bacterial small subunit ribosomal RNA
Source: RNAcentral
UUCUUCGGAGAGUUUGAUCCUGGCUCAGGAUGAACGCUGGCGGCGUGCCUAAUACAUGCAAGUCGAGCGAACUGAUUAGAAGCUUGCUUCUAUGACGUUAGCGGCGGACGGGUGAGUAACACGUGGGCAACCUGCCUGUAAGACUGGGAUAACUUCGGGAAACCGAAGCUAAUACCGGAUAGGAUCUUCUCCUUCAUGGGAGAUGAUUUGAAAGAUGGUUUCGGCUAUCACUUACAGAUGGGCCC